AUGGAGGCGGCUCUGGUGAGUGCGGCGACGGGUGCCUUGAAGCCUGUCCUCCGGAAGCUGGCCACCCUUUUGGGUGACAAGUACAAGCAUUUCAAAGGCGUGCGUGGCGAAAUCAAAUCGCUCAGCAGCGAACUCGCUGCCAUGGAGGCGUUUCUUCUCAAGAUGUCAGAGGAGGAAGAUCCUGACGUUCAGGAUAAGGUAUGGAUGAAUGAGGUCCGGGAGCUCUCCUAUGACAUGGAGGACUCCAUCGAUGACUUCAUGCAAAGUGUGGGCAGCGAAGAUUCAAAGCCAGAUGGUUUCUUGGAAAAGAUGAAGAGCUCGUUGGGGAAGAUGAAGGCUCGUCACCGGAUCGGCAAUGAGAUCCAAGAUUUGAAGAAACAGAUCGUAGAGGUGGCGGAGAGGAAUGAAAGGUACAAGGCCCGUGACGGAAAGGUACAAGGCUCUAGGAAUGAAAGGUACCAGGCCAAGAAUUCAACCAUUGAUCCUAGAGCUCUUGUUAUCUUUCAGCAUGCCUCCGAGCUUGUCGGAAUUGAUAAACCCAAGGCUGAGGUAAUUAAACUGUUGACUAACGGUGGGUCAACACAAGAGCAACCGAAGCUGGUCUCUAUCGUAGGAUCCGGUGGGAUGGGCAAAACAACUCUUGCAUAUCAAGUGUAUAAAGACCUCAAAGGAGAGUUCAAAUGUCGGGCCUUCUUAUCCGUGUCGAGAAAUCCGGACAUGAUGAAUAUUAUGAGAACUAUUUUUAGUGAAGUUAGUGGGAAAGAUUAUGCUAACACUGAAUCAGGGAGUAUACAACAACUCAUUAGCAAGAUCGCCGAUUUCUUGGAAGACAAAAGGUAUUUUGUUGUUCUUGACGAUAUAUGGGACGUAGAUACAUGGCAUGUUCUUAAGCUUGCACUUCCUGUGACUAGUUCUGGCAGUAUCAUAAUCACCACUACUCGUAUAAAUGAUGUAGCCGAAUCAUGCCGUUCAACACCAUUCAAUGGAGAUAUUUAUUGCAUAAGGCCUCUUGAUAUGGUGCACUCUAGGCAGUUAUUUUACGCAAGAUUAUUCAACUCCAAAGAAAAGUGCCCAUCGUACCUUAAAAAGGUUUCCGAACAUAUUUUGAAAAAAUGUGCUGGGUUGCCUUUGGCAAUCAUUGCUAUAUCUGGUUUGUUGGCUAAUACUGAAAGGACAGAGGGUCCAUGGAAACAAGUUGAAGAUUCGAUUGGUCGAGCACUUGAAAGAAAUCCCAGUGUUGAAGGAAUGAUGAAGAUAUUGUCACUUAGUUACUUUGAACUGCCUGCUCAUCUGAAAUCUUGUCUCUUAUGUUUGAGUGUAUUCCCUGAAGACUCUAUUAUUAAGAAGAACAUUGUGAUACGUAGGUGGAUUGCUGAAAGGUUAAUUCAUACAGAAGCCGGAUAUAGCACAACAUAUGAAUUUGGAGAAAGGUGUUUUAAUGAGCUCAUCAACAGGAGUUUGAUCCAACCAGCGAAGAUGGACAUAUUUGAUAGGGUCAAUAGUUGCCGACUUCAUGACACAAUUCUUGAUUUCAUCAUAUCCAAAACUAUAGAAGAAAACUUUGUUACUUUGGUAGGUGUUCCUAGUUUAACUGUUGGAACACAAAGCAAAGUUCGUCGGAUCUCCCUGCAAGCCGGCAAGCAACAAGAACUGAUAGUGCCAAGAGGCUUUGUGUUGUCUCAUGUCCGAUCACUUGAUGUGUUCGGGACAUCGGUGAAAAUCCCUUCAAUGGAUAAGUUCAUGCAUUUGCGUUUUCUUGACUUUAGAGGAUGCAAACAGCUGGAGAACCACCAUAUUGAAAAUAUAGGGAUGUUGUUUUUGCUGAGGUACCUGAGCCUCCAUGGAGCGAAGAAAGUAAAUAAGCUCCCAGAACAAAUCGGACAUCUAUGGUGCUUAGAGGUAUUGGACUUAAGAGACACCUCUGUUUAUGAGUUACCAGCAUCUAUUGCUAAUCUCAAGAGAUUGGUGCACCUAUUUAUCACGAACAUUGUUACACUUCCUUAUGGAAUUUCUAAGUUGCAAGCACUGGAAAAAUUGAAGUAUGUCGGCGUGUGUAGGCAGUCAUUCCUACAAGAACUUGUGCAGCUGCAGAGUCUGAAGGUAUUGCAACUUGAUUUUAAAGAACCUGUUUCUACUGACCAAUUGAACACUGAAAGAAAGAAAGCUAUUAUUGGUGCUUCCCUUAAAAAACUAGGGAACCUUCUGUCUCUAACUGUUUGCUAUGGCCCUGAAUUAGUAGAGAAAUCUCUGUGCCCUAUGCCACUUAGCCUCCAGAAGCUUAUACUUUGGUCUUCGAUUAUUCCCCAUGUUCCAAAGUGGAUGGGCUCCCUUAUCAACCUCCAGGAAUUACGCCUUGAAUUGGCCGGAGCUGAGCAGGAAGAUUUCUAUAUCCUUGGAGGCUUACCUGUUCUGCGUUAUCUGGUUCUGGAAAUUGAUGAUCGUGAAAUUAGAAAUAGUACUCCUUUAAUAAUAAUCUGUGGUGAAGUUGGAUUCCCAUACUUGAGGAAAUUUCGUUAUUAUAGUCCGUUUGCUGGGAUGAAUCUGACGUUUGCGGAUGGAGCCAUGCCUAAGGUAGAUGAACUCUUAAUAGAAUUUAACGCAGCAAAAACUCGGAAUUGGGGUGGAUCUUUUUUGAUCAGUAGUACUAGUGGUUUUGAUCUCGGAAUAAAAAAGCUCCCCUGCCUCGUCAAAAUCAGAUGUGUACUACGCGGAUACGAUAUUAGCAGAGUUGAGGCUGCAAAGGCUGCCAUUCGGGAAGAAGCCAACGCACAUCCCAACCGCCCUAGUUUAUCGUUCGGCUGA
RNAcentral lists this ribosomal RNA (2802 nucleotides) under Triticum aestivum (bread wheat). Its description in RNAcentral is "partial small subunit ribosomal RNA". The record is from RNAcentral. Lineage: Eukaryota; Viridiplantae; Streptophyta; Magnoliopsida; Poales; Poaceae.